RNAcentral lists this ribosomal RNA (1408 nucleotides) under Klebsiella pneumoniae. RNAcentral's name for it is "bacterial SSU rRNA". It matches the Rfam family "Bacterial small subunit ribosomal RNA". Lineage: Bacteria; Pseudomonadati; Pseudomonadota; Gammaproteobacteria; Enterobacterales; Enterobacteriaceae. The record is from RNAcentral.
UGCAGUCGAGCGGUAGCACAGAGAGCUUGCUCUCGGGUGACGAGCGGCGGACGGGUGAGUAAUGUCUGGGAAACUGCCUGAUGGAGGGGGAUAACUACUGGAAACGGUAGCUAAUACCGCAUAACGUCGCAAGACCAAAGUGGGGGACCUUCGGGCCUCAUGCCAUCAGAUGUGCCCAGAUGGGAUUAGCUAGUAGGUGGGGUAACGGCUCACCUAGGCGACGAUCCCUAGCUGGUCUGAGAGGAUGACCAGCCACACUGGAACUGAGACACGGUCCAGACUCCUACGGGAGGCAGCAGUGGGGAAUAUUGCACAAUGGGCGCAAGCCUGAUGCAGCCAUGCCGCGUGUGUGAAGAAGGCCUUCGGGUUGUAAAGCACUUUCAGCGGGGAGGAAGGCGUUAAGGUUAAUAACCUUGUCGAUUGACGUUACCCGCAGAAGAAGCACCGGCUAACUCCGUGCCAGCAGCCGCGGUAAUACGGAGGGUGCAAGCGUUAAUCGGAAUUACUGGGCGUAAAGCGCACGCAGGCGGUCUGUCAAGUCGGAUGUGAAAUCCCCGGGCUCAACCUGGGAACUGCAUUCGAAACUGGCAGGCUAGAGUCUUGUAGAGGGGGGUAGAAUUCCAGGUGUAGCGGUGAAAUGCGUAGAGAUCUGGAGGAAUACCGGUGGCGAAGGCGGCCCCCUGGACAAAGACUGACGCUCAGGUGCGAAAGCGUGGGGAGCAAACAGGAUUAGAUACCCUGGUAGUCCACGCCGUAAACGAUGUCGAUUUGGAGGUUGUGCCCUUGAGGCGUGGCUUCCGGAGCUAACGCGUUAAAUCGACCGCCUGGGGAGUACGGCCGCAAGGUUAAAACUCAAAUGAAUUGACGGGGGCCCGCACAAGCGGUGGAGCAUGUGGUUUAAUUCGAUGCAACGCGAAGAACCUUACCUGGUCUUGACAUCCACAGAACUUAGCAGAGAUGCUUUGGUGCCUUCGGGAACUGUGAGACAGGUGCUGCAUGGCUGUCGUCAGCUCGUGUUGUGAAAUGUUGGGUUAAGUCCCGCAACGAGCGCAACCCUUAUCCUUUGUUGCCAGCGGUUAGGCCGGGAACUCAAAGGAGACUGCCAGUGAUAAACUGGAGGAAGGUGGGGAUGACGUCAAGUCAUCAUGGCCCUUACGACCAGGGCUACACACGUGCUACAAUGGCAUAUACAAAGAGAAGCGACCUCGCGAGAGCAAGCGGACCUCAUAAAGUAUGUCGUAGUCCGGAUUGGAGUCUGCAACUCGACUCCAUGAAGUCGGAAUCGCUAGUAAUCGUAGAUCAGAAUGCUACGGUGAAUACGUUCCCGGGCCUUGUACACACCGCCCGUCACACCAUGGGAGUGGGUUGCAAAAGAAGUAGGUAGCUUAACCUUCGGGAGGGCGCUACC